UACGAAGGGGGCGAGCGUUGUUCGGAUUUACUGGGCGUAAAGGGCGCGCAGGCGGCUUUGUUUGUCAGGCGUGAAAUUCCCGGGCUUAACCUGGGGGCUGCAUUUGAUACGUGUUGUCUUGAGUUCGGAAGAGGGUCGUGGAAUUCCCAGUGUAGAGGUGAAAUUCGUAGAUAUUGGGAAGAACACCGGUGGCGAAGGCGGCGACCUGGUCCGACACUGACGCUGAGGCGCGAAAGCUAGGGGAGCAAACGGG
Molecule: ribosomal RNA, 253 nt
Filed under: uncultured bacterium
Lineage: Bacteria
Description: partial 16S ribosomal RNA
Rfam family: Bacterial small subunit ribosomal RNA
Source: RNAcentral